CUACGGGUCGCUCCAGUGGGGAAUAUUGGACAAUGGGGGAAACCCUGAUCCAGCAAUGCCGCGUGUGUGAAGAAGGCCUGCGGGUUGUAAAGCACUUUCGGUUGGGAGGACUGCUUCUAGCACUAAUAUUGUUGGAAGUUGACGUUACCUUCAGAAGAAGCACCGGCUAACUCCGUGCCAGCAGCCGCGGUAAUACGGGAGGUGCAAGCGUUAAUCGGAAUUACUGGGCGUAAAGCGCGCGUAGGCGGCUAGAUCAGUCGGGUGUGAAAGCCCCGGGCUUAACCUGGGAACUGCAUCCGAUACUGUCUAGCUUGAGUACAGGAGAGGAGAGUGGAAUUCCACAUGUAGCGGUGAAAUGCGUAGAUAUGUGGAGGAACACCAAUGGCGAAGGCAGCUCUCUGGCCUGAUACUGACGCUGAGGUGCGAAAGCGUGGGGAGCAAACAGGAUUAGAUACCCUUGUAGUC
RNAcentral lists this ribosomal RNA (465 nucleotides) under uncultured bacterium. RNAcentral's name for it is "partial 16S ribosomal RNA". It matches the Rfam family "Bacterial small subunit ribosomal RNA", at positions 339 to 795 of the family's 1533-position model. The record is from RNAcentral.